AGUGAACGCUGGCGGUAGGCCUAACACAUGCAAGUCGAACGGCAGCACAGUAAGAUCUUGCUCUUACGGGUGGCGAGUGGCGGACGGGUGAGGAAUACAUCGGAAUCUACUUUUUCGUGGGGGAUAACGUAGGGAAACUUACGCUACUACCGCAUACGACCUACGGGUGAAAGCAGGGGAUCUUCGCACCUUGCGCGAUUGAAUGAGCCGAUGUCGGUUUAGCUAGUUGGCGGGGUAAAGGCCCACCAAGGCGACGAUCCGUAGCUGGUCUGAGAGGAUGAUCAGCCACACUGGAACUGAGACACGGUCCAGACUCCUACGGGAGGCAGCAGUGGGGAAUAUUGAACAAUGGGCGCAAGCCUGAUCCAGCAAUACCGCGUGAGUGAAGAAGGCCUUCGGGUUGUAAAGCCCUUUUGUUGGGAAAGAAAAGCAGCAGGUUAAUACACCGAUGUUCUGACGGUACCCAAAGAAUAAGCACCGGCUAACUUCGUG
RNAcentral lists this ribosomal RNA (492 nucleotides) under uncultured bacterium. RNAcentral describes it as "partial 16S ribosomal RNA". It matches the Rfam family "Bacterial small subunit ribosomal RNA", at positions 29 to 507 of the family's 1533-position model. The record is from RNAcentral.